CCAGCCCUACUCGAACUCAAUCUGGCACACAAUUGAUCAGGUGUAAAUGUCUAAUUAAGGUAGUAGAAUUUAGACAUUUUCAAAGUGGCAUUUCAAUAUUAUCUUUCGUUUCCUAUUCUUUUAUAAAAUUCCUCAAAUUGCAAGCAUCGAUCCAUUUUUUACAAAAAAAGUAAAGUAGGGGGGCCAUCUUUAACCAUAGAAUCCAUGAAACCAGAACAUACCAUGACACUAAAUUAGCUGGCCGAGGAUCGUAACGGCCAAUCUCAAUUUGCAAAGUCCUUUGGUGUUUUACUACCAAAGAUUGGUUAAACUCUUACUACUGAUAUGCUUUGAGGCGCGCUAAUAUACCAGCUGCAAAAUUGAUGAAACCACAUCGUGUUCAUCUACAUUCUACUACAGUGAAAGAAAAACAAAAAUCCCCCAAAAGAUAUCCUUUGAGCGCUAGAAAAGAAUGGUACAUUGCCUAUGCCUGACAAAGAACCUUGCAGCUGUCCGGCUCCGGCUCCGGCAGGUAGCUAGUAGUAAUAUCAAUAAUAUACCUGUAUGAGCUCCAUGAGGAAGUGGACGUCCUUGGAGUAGAGCUCCUGCGAGAGGUAGUUGACGGCCUGGUGCAUGUCCUCCGCCAGCGGAUUCCGCUCCUCACGCCCGAUGAAGUAGCGCUCCCACCGGAUCCUCUCCACGUGCUCCCGCGGCGACGCCGGCGGCGGCUUCGCCGAGGACGACGACAUGGUCGCCGGCUCGCCGCCGAACAAUGGCGAGAGCGCGCUCGCGUAGGAUCACUGCUAGCUGUUGGUGAUGAGUGACGAUCGAACUGGAUGGAAGAAGACGAAGAGAGAGAGAGGAGCCAGCGGAAAUGAAGACGCGCGCGUGCCGGCGGCCUGCAGCGUGCUUGGUUGGGAAGCGGAAGAGCCGAAGCAGUGUAGUGGGCGAGGACUUAUUGAGCUGCUGGCCUUGAAACUUGCAUUGGAAGGCCAAGAGGCCGCCGGAUCGGCGCCACGGCCAGGGCCGCUGCGCCUGCUGUGUUGCACGGUGGGCAAACGAUGAUACAGCAGCCAGUGACUGCGAGCAGGAUAGUCGCGCGGGACCACUUGUCAUGGGACUAUGGAAGUGUGUUGCGUGCAGAUUCCACAUUUCCACUGGGUGGAAGUGGCACACAUAUACCAAUCCUUUUUUUUCCUCUAAGAACGUAGCAAACAUAUAGGAGUACUAGUUUGGUAGAACCAAACAUAUAGUACACAAAAGUUUUUUUUUAUUAGUAACUGGAAUUAUAUUAAUAACAGCAAAACGCUGUAGAGAUGAGUACAUCUGGAACAGAAAGCUCCUGAAGAACACUCAGAACAGAGCACUGCUGAUUAUGAGCAGUGGAUGAGCAACUCCUCCGAGGGAGGGCUGCUGAGAGGCUAUUUGCCUGAGAGGCUAGACUAUGUGCCGUCAAAUUUGAGGAUCUGUGAAUCUUGCGAAUGGAGAUGUCUCAUGCAUCUGCAAAAUUCUUGUAGACUUGAGAGAAAGGCUUCAUCCUCCAGCCCGGGGGGUGGGCGACAGAUUCCUGAUUUAGGAAUAGCACCAGCUGCUGGCAAUCUGAAAGAAUAUAAGAAUUUUGUGCUUGGAGGAGAUGCAAGAGUUGAGCUGCUAGAGCAGCAGCCGUUGCUUCCGCCAUGAGGACAGAAGAGACUUGUUCGACACGCGCCUUAACAAGAAUUUUGAUCGGAGGCUGCACCUGCACAUCAAUAAAAGAGAUUCCAAUACCUGCAGGUCGAAUGAAGGUUUGAUUCUGAUCCGGCAGCGUGGAUGCAUCAACAUAACAUCUGGGCCCUGUUAAAGAUGCUGGGAUAGACACAGUAAGAUUUGAAAUACAGGGAUUAUAGAUUGCCAUACCAAUGGGUUGUGUGGGGUUUUGCAGCUCCUGUUGUUCUUUCUGUAGAGUUGGUGUAGCAGCCUUUGUGUAUGCUUUGACAGCAUUGUGCACCUGGUUUGGGAUCCAUGUCUUCCUCUGGAAACGAUUAUCAUUUCUUGCUUUCCACAAGAACCACAAGGUAAUAAAAAUUUUGCUUAAAAGAUCAUGAGGAGUAGUAUCAUCAAUAAAGGAGGUUAAGAUUUCUUGUACUCCAUCGUCUUCAAUAGGAAGAUUAUCUGUUAUCAGAGCAGGGCUAGAGGAAAACCAAACAGCUUUAGCCAAGGCCCUUCUGAUCAGUCUCCAGGCGAAGGUUUUGAUGAGAGGUGGCAUCUUGGGUGCCUUCCAGACCUUGUGGAGGAUUGAUUUAGCUUGAGGUGAAAUGCUCCUAGAUCCUGCAUCUGGCAGCUGAAUGAUAUUUUGAUUAUACAGGUACUUGUAUAUUUCUUUAGUAGUGCAAACUCUAUUUUUAGCUGGUUUCCAUCUUAAAAUGUCAUCCUCUGGAUUAUUGUGUUUAGUUGGAACAAUUCUUAUCUGAGAUAUUUCAUUAGUUAACUGAUUAUCAAAAACUGAUUGAAUGUAA
This is a long non-coding RNA of Sorghum bicolor (sorghum), 2474 nucleotides long. RefSeq lists it as uncharacterized. The transcript is spliced from 2 exons. Lineage: Eukaryota; Viridiplantae; Streptophyta; Magnoliopsida; Poales; Poaceae. The record is from RefSeq and is a predicted model, not a curated record.